RNAcentral lists this ribosomal RNA (253 nucleotides) under uncultured bacterium. RNAcentral describes it as "partial 16S ribosomal RNA". It matches the Rfam family "Bacterial small subunit ribosomal RNA", at positions 524 to 776 of the family's 1533-position model. The record is from RNAcentral.
UACGGAGGGGGCAAGCGUUAUUCGGAAUUAUUGGGCGUAAAGGGCGCGUAGGCGGCUAGAUGUGUCAAAGGUGAGAUCCCUCGGCUCAACUGAGGAACUGCCUUUGAAACUGUCUGGCUUGAGGCCGGGAGAGGGUAGCGGAAUUCCCAGUGUAGCGGUGAAAUGCGUAGAUAUUGGGAGGAACACCAGUGGCGAAGGCGGCUCACUGGUCCGGUACUGACGCUGAGGUGCGAAAGCGUGGGGAGCAAACAGG